RNAcentral lists this long non-coding RNA (414 nucleotides) under Ananas comosus (pineapple). RNAcentral describes it as "long non-coding RNA (ACOM_LNC002979)". The record is from RNAcentral. Lineage: Eukaryota; Viridiplantae; Streptophyta; Magnoliopsida; Poales; Bromeliaceae.
GUUUAAAGGAAACCAAAUCGCGCCAAUUGAAGGAAGUUACAGUAACCGCAAGCAGUUGCAUGCGGUUCCGAUCGGCUGGAGGUGGUCCGGGAUAUCAGGAGAUAAUGGCCGAUCGUGUAAGAGCAAUAACUCAUCAAGGGGGCAAUCUAUAAAUAGGGUAAUAACGCCCUAAAAAGGGUUCUUUUUCCCUGUAAAUAAAAGACCACCCUUAUUUCCUCGCAAUUUUCAGCAUUUUCUAGGAGUAGUCUACUUGUAAUUUUACUGCUUUUCUCUAGGAGUUGUUCGCUAAAGUAGAAUCCUGGAGUCUGUCUGCCCCACGAGCAUCACUCUAUUGUAAACUAUAUAUCUGUCCUUGUACUUCCCAUCAGUCAAUCAGAAGAAAGUCUUUUCGGCUCUUCCAGCCGACCACGUAUU